Manduca sexta (tobacco hornworm) is the source of this 832-nucleotide long non-coding RNA. RefSeq lists it as uncharacterized. NCBI's taxonomy places the organism in Eukaryota, Metazoa, Arthropoda, Insecta, Lepidoptera, Sphingidae. The record is from RefSeq and is a predicted model, not a curated record. The transcript has 2 exons.
CGCUGCGUGCUGCCCUGAUGACUACAGCACCCUUCUACUUCACGCUGCUCUGGAUCGGCUGCUUGUAUAUUUUGUUCAAGAUUACGAAAAAUCUUCGGCGUCUAAUAGUGUUGGGACUUGCGAAUAUACUCGCUUGUUUGUUGGAAUUAUACUUAUACAUGACUCUGUAAUUGGGAUUAAUAACAGUGAGCUGUAUAUUUUGAUUUUUUGUUGGGUUAUAAUAAUAAGGAGCGGCGAAACUAAAAAUUACGUGUGUGGCGACGGUUUCAAAUAGCGAUUAUAAUGUUUGUGUUGAAAAUAAUGAUGUUUAUGUUUCGACAAAAAAUACUGAUCGAUUAUAGAGAGUAAUCGUCAAUCUUUUUAGCCGGUGUGAAAUCUCAAGUAACUUCGCAGUAGAUAAUAACAUGUAUAUUAAGGUAUAUUGAGUGGGUGAAGUAGUUAUCAAAUCGGCCAAGAAUGACGAUAACUGUGUGUAGCUGAUAGACCGAAGCUAAUUGUUCACUUGCUAUGUGUUUGUAAAAUUGGAAAAUAAGUCAACCCCAGUAGAGUUACUGCGUGGCGUUCAUAUGCCUUACCAUUUAUAUAGGACUGAAAUGUUAAAAUUAUUUCAGUCAAUUAAAGAAGUGUUCUGAUUACAAUAGUAGCAUUUUUUAAGAAUCACUUUUGUUUCACGUACUGUAGCAACCUUAUAAUGACUGUACAUUGCACCAACGUUUUACUUAAAAUAUACAUUAUUAUAUCCGUCCAAGUAGUUUUCGGAUUAUUAACGGAUAACACACGAAGCAAUAAACGAAUAAUGGCAUAUAUGGUGUUCAGAAAAAGCAAAAAAAAA